CCUACGGGAGGCAGCAGUGGGGAAUCUUGCGCAAUGGGCGAAAGCCUGACGCAGCGACGCCGCGUGAGUGAUGAAGGCCUUCGGGUUGUAAAGCUCUGUGGAGGGGGACGAAUAAGUCGGCGCGAACAGCUCCGAUGAUGACGGUACCCCUUUAGCAAGCACCGGCUAACUCUGUGCCAGCAGCCGCGGUAAGACAGAGGGUGCAAACGUUGUUCGGAAUUACUGGGCGUAAAGCGCGUGUAGGCGGCUCUGAUAAGUGAGGUGUGAAAGCCCUGGGCUCAACCCAGGAAGUGCACUUCAAACUAUCGAGCUUGAAUGCUGGAGAGGAAAGCGGAAUUCUCGGUGUAGAGGUGAAAUUCGUAGAUAUCGAGAGGAACACCCGUGGCGAAGGCGGCUUUCUGGACAGCGAUUGACGCUGAGACGCGAAAGCCUGGGGAGCAAACAGGAUUAGAUACCCUGGUAGUCCACGCCGUAAACGAUGGGUGCUAGGUGUCGCGGGCAUUGACCCCUGCGGUGCCGUAGCUAACGCAUUAAGCACCCCGCCUGGGGAGUACGGUCGCAAGACUAAAACUCAAAGGAAUUGACGG
RNAcentral lists this ribosomal RNA (587 nucleotides) under uncultured bacterium. Its description in RNAcentral is "bacterial SSU rRNA". It matches the Rfam family "Bacterial small subunit ribosomal RNA", at positions 338 to 916 of the family's 1533-position model. The record is from RNAcentral.